GCGAGUUGACUACUCGC
RNAcentral lists this non-coding RNA (17 nucleotides) under synthetic construct. The record is from RNAcentral.